CAGAGCUUCCUAGCAGGCCCUGCACUUCCUGGUCCUGUUUCCUCACAACCAUGCGUUACUGUAUGCACAGGAAGCACGGGGAAAGGUCAUGGCGAAAGUCUUUCUCUCAGAGAGCACGUUUUUAACCCUGCCAGGGCAGUGGUAGCUGGGCACGCCUAGAGUCAAGGCAUUUCCCGUGUAUGCAAGAGAGGCCAUCAUCUGCCCCCUGACGUCAGCGGUCACCACCGUCCAGUAGAAACCUCCCCUGGAAUGCCACCACCUCCCACCUGGUGCUCCUCAGCGAGGUAAGACGACUGCAAACACCAGAAGCCUGAAGAAUGUUUAACAGGGAAAGUUCCUGAUCCACAGUAACCUCAGUGUUCCUGACAACACCCGCGGGCCCAGGAAGUGUGCCAACCAACCAGAGGUGGGCCAAGCCCUCCUCCACCCCAGGAGGGCACCCAGCAAUCACUGCCCUCCCACCCUGUGGAGAACUGGGGUACAAGCUGUCCCAAGAAGCAAGUCUGAUGUGUACCAGGCAGUGACAACCAGUGUGGCCCUUUGGCAGAUGUCACUUGCAGGUGGUGUUUGCAGCACUCAUGUCCUCAUGUCAGGUGGGAUCUGUGAAAAGCUGGAGAGAUGUCAGGAGCCUCCCCAGUGAAAAGAACCAGGGCUCCCUGGAGGGACGGCUCGUCCUGGGCUGGGACUGGAACAGAAGACACACAAGAGGAACCAGAAAGCAGGAAUAUGCUCCACACAGCCACACACCCACAACGAGAGCCGUGUCAACAGGGCAGCAGGGCCCAGGAGCCAGCGGAAUGAGGCCCCAGGGCCAAAAGCAGGACAAUUUGAGCAACAAAAUAAAUAGCAUAGUAUUGGAUUACAGCCAAAAGUGUAAAACAAACACCCGUGGGCCUACACUGACACGGGCCACAGUAAAUCUGUGGUGCAGAACAAUUCAAAACAAUUUAUGUUGACGGUCUGCCCUCAAAACAUAGAGGGCAGCUCUCCACCCGUCACCUGUGGGUUGUGCUGACUUCUUUCUGAAGUGGACAGACAGCAAGGAACGGAGACAGGGUAACUUCACAGUGGAGAAACUGGACAAACACGAUGUCAGCCAGGUGACAAAGGUCACCAGCAGCAGAGAUGUGUCGUGUUGACAGCACGAGCCCCUGACGGGGUGUGAGAGAAAUCACAGGUCACCUCUGCAAUCCCCUUCUUGAAACCCACAACCCCAAGCAACCAGACCAGUCCCAGCUGUCAGAAACCCGCAAAAUACCUAACCAAUAUCCCUUAAAACUGUCAAGGUCACUAAAAACAAGGAAAGUCGCAAAAGCUGUCAUAGCCAGGGACAGUCAAAUGGGACAAGAUGACUAAGUGUAAACAUGGCAUCUUGGGAUAUGAGGCAGAGAAAGCUAAAGAAAUAUGAACAAGGCAAAGGCUUUAGUUAAUAAUAACGUACCGGUUUGGGUGCAUUAACUGUGAAUACUCCAUACUAUUAUAACAUGAUAAUCACAGGGGAAACUAGGUAGGAGAGCUAGGGGACUGCACGUGCUAUUUUUACAAUUUUUCUGUAAAUGUGAAACUACUCUAAAAUGAAAGUUUUAUUUUAAAAAAUCUGUGGGGGAUGAUACAACGAAAUAAAGAUGCAAGGGAAAAUGUACAGUUUUGAAAAUUAGAAUGACACAUGUAUAUAUAUUUCUAAAAGUACUGACAUCAGGUAUCAAUUCAUUAAGGUAUUAAAUUUCAUUUUAUGAUGGAACCAUUCUUUUUUAAAGGCUGAUAUUCUAAUAUACCAAAUGUUACGCACUAAAUCUUAUGGUGAAAC
This is a long non-coding RNA of Heterocephalus glaber (naked mole-rat), 1807 nucleotides long. Lineage: Eukaryota; Metazoa; Chordata; Mammalia; Rodentia; Bathyergidae. The record is from Ensembl.